This 236-nucleotide unclassified non-coding RNA is filed under the name plant metagenome. RNAcentral describes it as "partial contains small subunit ribosomal RNA, internal transcribed spacer 1, and 5.8S ribosomal RNA". The record is from RNAcentral.
UUUCCGUAGGUGAACCUGCGGAAGGAUCAUUACUGAGUGAGGGCCCCUCGGGGUCCAACCUCCCACCCGUGUUUAACGAACCUUGUUGCUUCGGCGGGCCCGCCUCACGGCCGCCGGGGGGCAUCUGCCCCCGGGCCCGCGCCCGCCGAUGCCACCUGUGAACGCUGUCUGAAGUAUGCAGUCUGAGACAAUUAUUAAAUUAAUUAAAACUUUCAACAACGGAUCUCUUGGUUCCG